AUUGAACGCUGGCGGCAUGCCUUACACAUGCAAGUCGAACGGUAACAGGUCUUCGGAUGCUGACGAGUGGCGAACGGGUGAGUAAUACAUCGGAACGUGCCUAGUAGUGGGGGAUAACUACUCGAAAGAGUGGCUAAUACCGCAUGAGAUCUACGGAUGAAAGCAGGGGAUCGCAAGACCUUGUGCUACUAGAGCGGCCGAUGGCAGAUUAGGUAGUUGGUGGGAUAAAAGCUUACCAAGCCGACGAUCUGUAGCUGGUCUGAGAGGACGAUCAGCCACACUGGGACUGAGACACGGCCCAGACUCCUACGGGAGGCAGCAGUGGGGAAUUUUGGACAAUGGGCGCAAGCCUGAUCCAGCAAUGCCGCGUGCAGGAUGAAGGCCUUCGGGUUGUAAACUGCUUUUGUGCGGAACGAAAAGCCCCGGGUUAAUACCCUGGGGUCAUGACGGUACCGUAAGAAUAAGCACCGGCUAACUACGUGCCAGCCGCCGCCGUAA
This 498-nucleotide ribosomal RNA is filed under the name uncultured bacterium. RNAcentral describes it as "partial 16S ribosomal RNA". It matches the Rfam family "Bacterial small subunit ribosomal RNA", at positions 30 to 523 of the family's 1533-position model. The record is from RNAcentral.